RNAcentral lists this ribosomal RNA (301 nucleotides) under uncultured bacterium. RNAcentral's name for it is "partial 16S ribosomal RNA". It matches the Rfam family "Bacterial small subunit ribosomal RNA", at positions 509 to 807 of the family's 1533-position model. The record is from RNAcentral.
CAGUCGCCACGGUAAUACGUAGGGUGCAAGCGUUAAUCGGAAUUACUGGGCGUUAAGCGUGCGCAGGCGGUUAUAUAAGACAGAUGUGAAAUCCCCGGGCUCAACCUGGGAACUGCAUUUGUGACUGUAUAGCUAGAGUACGGCAGAGGGGGAUGGAAUUCCGCGUGUAGCAGUGAAAUGCGUAGAUAUGCGGAGGAACACCGAUGGCGAAGGCAAUCCCCUGGGCCUGUACUGACGCUCAUGCACGAAAGCGUGGGGAGCAAACAGGAUUAGAUACCCGCGUAGUCCCUGUCUCUUAUAC